RNAcentral lists this ribosomal RNA (788 nucleotides) under uncultured bacterium. Its description in RNAcentral is "bacterial SSU rRNA". It matches the Rfam family "Bacterial small subunit ribosomal RNA", at positions 688 to 1501 of the family's 1533-position model. The record is from RNAcentral.
CCGUUGAUAUCGAGGGGAAUACCAAAUGCGAAGGCAGUUCACUGGGGCUUUCUUGACGCUGAGGCACGAAAGCGUGGGUAGCGAAUCGGAUUAGAUACCCGAGUAGUCCACGCCCUAAACGCUGUCUGUUGGCUAUUAGGAGAAUCGACCCUCUUAGUGGCGAAGCUAACGCGUUAAACAGACCGCCUGGGUAGUACGAUCGCAAGAUUAAAACUCAAAGGAAUAGACGGGGGCUCGCACAAGCGGUGGAUCAUGAGGCUUAAUUCGUCGAUAAGCGAAAAACCUUACCGAGGCUAGAAACUAUACUGCACGCUCUCCGAAAAGAGAGAAUCCUUCGAGGGUGUAUAGCAGGUGAUGCAUGGCCGUCGUCAGUUCGUGGCUUGAGCUGUUCCCUUAAGUGGGGAAACGAACGCAACCCUCGUUGCCUGUUACAAGUGUCAGGCGAGACUGCUCCCUCACGGGAGAGGAAGGUGAGGAUGACGCCAGGUCAGCAUGUCCCUUGAUGCCUCGGGCUGCACUCGUGAUACAAUGGGUGGUACAACGGGACGCAAUACCGUAAGGUGGAGCAAAUCCUAAUAAAACCAUCCCCAGUUCGGAUUGUGGGCUGCAACUCGCCCACAUGAAGUCGGAAUCGCUAGUAAUCGUGAAUCAGCACGUCACGGUGAAUACGUUCCCGAGCCUUGUACUCACCGCCCGUCAAGUCAGGGGAGUCGGAAGUGCCCGAAGUGCCAGUUUAUCUGGUCCUACGGUAAAUUCGAUAACAAGGACUAAGUCGUAACAAGGUAACC